AUCAACGGAGAGCGCGCUAGGCAAGUUUGGCGAGUUUUGCGUCUUUGCGUGGUUUGUGGGCCCUUUUCUUUUUUCACGCUUUGAUUCUCUUAAGGACUAAAGACUUUAUUUUUUUUUUGCAAGGAGGGAAAGGCCGCUGAUUUCAGAAUCAGCGGGAACCCCAGCCCGUCCUCUGUAACUGACGGCGUGGCGCAUCGGCUGGAACGACCGACGGGAGCGCUCCUCUGAGAGCGUCCACUCGGAUGUGGCGGGAUGCAGGCGACCUGGGGAUUACAGGUAGCCUCAUUAGGAGCUGUGGGCACAGAGAAAUCUUCGUUGUCUCUGGACAAGUGAUGAUCUUUGUUAAUUUGGGGUAUGGCAUUCUACUUCUUCACAGCGUCGGGGAAAAGGGUACCAGAAAGUGAAACAUUAGUCACAAGAGAGAUUGUUUUUUUUUUUUAAUGGCCUUUCUUUGAUAUUUGUCAUUCUCCCAGAGAAAAGGGAAAAAAUAAAAUGAACUGGUUUAAAAAAGAAUUAACAAAGGUUUUUUGCGUUUGUCUUCUAUUU
RNAcentral lists this long non-coding RNA (546 nucleotides) under Phocoena sinus (vaquita). RNAcentral's name for it is "lncRNA (ENSPSNG00000019106.1)". Lineage: Eukaryota; Metazoa; Chordata; Mammalia; Artiodactyla; Phocoenidae. The record is from RNAcentral.